This 236-nucleotide long non-coding RNA is filed under the name Hordeum vulgare. RNAcentral's name for it is "long non-coding RNA (HVUL_LNC015173)". Lineage: Eukaryota; Viridiplantae; Streptophyta; Magnoliopsida; Poales; Poaceae. The record is from RNAcentral.
UUACACUCGUCAUAGCUACAUCAAAGUCACAUCAGUAUAAUACAUAAUCAUCAUGAAGAAGAGUAGGGUCCGACUAUGAACGAAAACAAAUGAGAAAAGAAGAACGACGUCCAUCCUUGCUAUCCCAGGCUGCCGGCCUGGAACCCAUCCUAGAUCGAUGAAGAAGAAGAAGAAGCAACUCCAAAUGAACAAUCAACGUGCUCGCGUCAGGUAACCUUUACCUGUACCUGCAACUG